Molecule: long non-coding RNA, 797 nt
Organism: Alligator mississippiensis (American alligator)
Lineage: Eukaryota; Metazoa; Chordata; Crocodylia; Alligatoridae
Exons: 2
Source: RefSeq, a predicted model, not a curated record
AAAAACAAUCCUAAAUUAUCUUGCCUCUUAGCAUCACAUUGUCAGCAGCCACUAUCCACAAGCAGCUUGUGUAUGUUGCCUGUUGCUGUCUCUGCCUGUUUAAUUACUCACUUGAUGUCUUUCGAACAAAGGCAUAUCUUUACCUGAAUUGUUACUUUCAGAGUGGGAAGUUAAGAAGACACAGGAGAAAGGAGGACUUAUGGGGGUGCAGUAUACAAGAUGUGGAGGCAGCAAUUUCCAGAUGAUUGUGGAAGGACAAGAGAUUGAGAAGAAUGACAGUGCUUUAUGCCCACCAUCAAAGCCUGCGAGACAAGAAAGGAAGACAUGAAAAAGCAAAGUUGGGCAGCAGCUGAUCAAGAAGGCAGUAUUCAGGAAGAAAACAGUUCUGAAAAGGGAGAAAAGUAAAGCAGACAUUGAAAGGCACCCUCCACAGGGGUGUGAUCAGCAAUAUCAAGCAUGGCUAUUCAUUGCCACAAUGGUGGGAAGAUGAUGCUCAAAAGCAAACUGAGGGUGUCUGUGGGGUUCCAGAAAUGGAACUGUAAUGCCCAUGUGGUUUUGCCUGUACCAGAGGACAUGUUUCUAGAAGACAUGGUGACUGAAAAUCCCUGCUACAAAAGCAAUUCCCAGCCAAAGCCUGAGAAGUAUUGGAAGAAUGCUGCUGCUUUAAUACCUCUGUGCAAAGGGCAUUGAUGACCAGCCAAAGAGUAACAAGGCUGACUUUUCUAGUGUCAUCUCUCAUGACCUACAUUUUUAUAAAUGUUUAUUUCACCGUAUUAAUAAAUGCUCAGUGAAAUAUC